RNAcentral lists this ribosomal RNA (1011 nucleotides) under Triticum aestivum (bread wheat). RNAcentral's name for it is "partial small subunit ribosomal RNA". The record is from RNAcentral. Lineage: Eukaryota; Viridiplantae; Streptophyta; Magnoliopsida; Poales; Poaceae.
AUGGUCUUGAUCCACUACGGCGUCGCCCACUUCAUCGAGCACCCACUGCCGCCCAACGCUGACGCCGCCACCCCUGAACUUGACGCCCAUCUCGUUCUCUGGAUUUACGCCACUCUCGCUGAUGCCCUUGUUGACCAUGUCGUCGGUGCCACCUCCACGUACGAGCUCUGGACUCGGAUCCGUGACUACUUCCUCACCAAUCGGGCUGCCCAGUACAUGAUGCUCAACCGGCAGUACCGUAAUCUCAAGCAGGGGGAUCUCUCCGUCGCGGAGUACGCUCGCCGCAUGAAGUUGCUCACCGCUGGGCUCGCGGACAUCGAUCACGCAUUCAUCGAGGUGGAUCUCACCACCCAGUUCCUCCACGGCAUCGACAAACGUCUCGACACCAUCCGCGUUGUCUUGGUCGACACCGUUCCCCUACCGCCAUUUGAGAUAGUUUUCUCCCGCGUCAAGCUUGAAGAGGAGAACCAGGCCCAGCCACCGAUGACGAGCCCAUCACCAUCCUCUCCGUCACUGGCGGCUCCACUCCCUCUGGGAGCUCCUCUGGCUCGGCUGGCCCGUCGGCCACACGCCCCUGUGAUCGCGGCGACCGCGCCAUCGAGCGCGGCCCAGAGCGCGGCGGGUAUGGGCACCAGCAAGGUCGCGGCUCCGGCACUCGCCAGGAGGGCGGUGACCGUGGACAUGGACGCGGUCGGGGUCGCAGGCGCAGACGUGGCGAUAGGGGCAGCGCGGCUUCACCAACAACCUCCCUGCACCCAUGCCCAAUCCCUACAUGGGCUUCUUCGGCCCCUACGGCAUGGCCCUGCCCAAUCCGCGCCCUGGCUGGGUUCCUCCGAACACUGCGGGCGUGCUCGGUCCUCGGCCCGGCUCGCAUGCCCAGGCCUACCAGAUGCAGUUCUCGGGCUACCCCACACCGCCUCCUCCACCACAGCCGUCGUGGGAUCAUCUCGCGAUGCUGCAAGCCGCCUACAGCGCUCAUGGCUUCCCCAACAAUGGCUCUGCGCUCAAUGA